UAAGCCUGCGAAGGUGGCCUGUGAGGGUUGCUGGAGGUAUCAGAAGUGCGAAUGCUGACAUAAGUAACGAUAAAGCGGGUGAAAAGCCCGCUCGCCGGAAGACCAAGGGUUCCUGUCCAACGUUAAUCGGGGCAGGGUGAGUCGACCCCUAAGGCGAGGCCGAAAGGCGUAGUCGAUGGGAAACGGGUUAAUAUUCCCGUACUUGGUGUUACUGCGAAGGGGGGACGGAGAAGGCUAUGUUGGCCGGGCGACGGUUGUCCCGGUUUAAGCGUGUAGGUGUGUGUUCCAGGUAAAUCCGGUUCACUUUAACACUGAGGCGUGACGACGAGGCACUACGGUGCUGAAGCAACAAAUGCCCUGCUUCCAGGAAAAGCCUCUAAGCAUCAGGUAACAUCAAAUCGUACCCCAAACCGACACAGGUGGUCAGGUAGAGAAUACCAAGGCGCUUGAGAGAACUCGGGUGAAGGAACUAGGCAAAAUGGUGCCGUAACUUCGGGAGAAGGCACGCUGACACGUAGGUGAAGUGAUUUACUCAUGGAGCUGAAGUCAGUCGAAGAUACCAGCUGGCUGCAACUGUUUAUUAAAAACACAGCACUGUGCAAACACGAAAGUGGACGUAUACGGUGUGACGCCUGCCCGGUGCCGGAAGGUUAAUUGAUGGGGUCAGCGCAAGCGAAGCUCCUGAUCGAAGCCCCGGUAAACGGCGGCCGUAACUAUAACGGUCCUAAGGUAGCGAAAUUCCUUGUCGGGUAAGUUCCGACCUGCACGAAUGGCGUAAUGAUGGCCAGGCUGUCUCCACCCGAGACUCAGUGAAAUUGAACUCGCUGUGAAGAUGCAGUGUACCCGCGGCAAGACGGAAAGACCCCGUGAACCUUUACUAUAGCUUGACACUGAACAUUGAGCCUUGAUGUGUAGGAUAGGUGGGAGGCUUUGAAGUGUGGACGCCAGUCUGCAUGGAGCCGGCCUUGAAAUACCACCCUUUAAUGUUUGAUGUUCUAACGUGGACCCGUGAUCCGGGUUGCGGACAGUGUCUGGUGGGUAGUUUGACUGGGGCGGUCUCCUCCUAAAGAGUAACGGAGGAGCACGAAGGUUGGCUAAUCCUGGUCGGACAUCAGGAGGUUAGUGCAAUGGCAUAAGCCAGCUUGACUGCGAGCGUGACGGCGCGAGCAGGUGCGAAAGCAGGUCAUAGUGAUCCGGUGGUUCUGAAUGGAAGGGCCAUCGCUCAACGGAUAAAAGGUACUCCGGGGAUAACAGGCUGAUACCGCCCAAGAGUUCAUAUCGACGGCGGUGUUUGGCACCUCGAUGUCGGCUCAUCACAUCCUGGGGCUGAAGUAGGUCCCAAGGGUAUGGCUGUUCGCCAUUUAAAGUGGUACGCGAGCUGGGUUUAGAACGUCGUGAGACAGUUCGGUCCCUAUCUGCCGUGGGCGCUGGAGAACUGAGGGGGGCUGCUCCUAGUACGAGAGGACCGGAGUGGACGCAUCACUGGUGUUCGGGUUGUCAUGCCAAUGGCACUGCCCGGUAGCUAAAUGCGGAAGAGAUAAGUGCUGAAAGCAUCUAAGCACGAAACUUGCCCCGAGAUGAGUUCUCCCUGAGACUUUAGGUCUCCUGAAGGAACG
RNAcentral lists this ribosomal RNA (1616 nucleotides) under Salmonella enterica subsp. enterica serovar Pomona. RNAcentral describes it as "partial 23S ribosomal RNA". It matches the Rfam family "Bacterial large subunit ribosomal RNA", at positions 1243 to 2837 of the family's 2925-position model. Lineage: Bacteria; Pseudomonadati; Pseudomonadota; Gammaproteobacteria; Enterobacterales; Enterobacteriaceae. The record is from RNAcentral.